AAAUUGCGAAAAGUAAUGCGAUCUGCAGCCUUUGCGAAUCAUCGAAUUCUCGAACGCACCUUGCACCCUUUGGUUCAUCCAUUGGGUACGUCUAGUUCAGUAUCUUUAUUAACCCCUAAAGGUUUAUUUUUUGAUAAAUCUUUGGAUUUGCGGUGCUGAUGGAUUUUCAUCCGUUCAAGCUACCCGAACAAUUUGUAUGUUGUUGACCCUUGAUAUUUCCUUGAGGGCUUGCAUUGGUAUCUAAUUUUUUACCAGUGUGCUUCGAGAUGAUCAAGUAUAAAGGUCAAUCAACCACAAAUAAAUUUCAACUAUGGAUCUGAACUUAGAUGGGAUUACCCGCUGAACUUAA
This 349-nucleotide unclassified non-coding RNA is filed under the name compost metagenome. Its description in RNAcentral is "partial contains 5.8S ribosomal RNA, internal transcribed spacer 2, and large subunit ribosomal RNA". The stretch from base 1 to 105 matches the Rfam family "5.8S ribosomal RNA", at positions 50 to 154 of the family's 154-position model. The record is from RNAcentral. RNAcentral also lists the same sequence under 1 other name.